RNAcentral lists this ribosomal RNA (17 nucleotides) under fungal endophyte sp. AP805. RNAcentral's name for it is "partial 28S ribosomal RNA". Lineage: Eukaryota; Fungi. The record is from RNAcentral.
GGUUGCCUCGGAUCUGG